AACGCUGGCGGCGCGCCCAACACAUGCAAGUCCAACCAACGAAAGAAAGCUUGCUUUCUCCAGCGAGUGGCGAACGGGUGAGUAACGCGUGAGGAACCUGCCUCCAAGAAGGGGACAACAGUUGGAAACGACUGCUAAUACCCCAUAAGCCCACGACCCGGCAUCGGGUUGAGGGAAAAGGAGCAAUCCGCUUUGAGAUGGCCUCGCGUCCGAUUAGCUAGUUGGUGAGGUAACGGCCCACCAAGGCGACGAUCGGUAGCCGGACUGAGAGGUUGAACGGCCACAUUGGGACUGAGACACGGCCCAGACUCCUACGGGAGGCAGCAGUGGGGAAUAUUGCACAAUGGGGGAAACCCUGAUGCAGCGACGCCGCGUGGAGGAAGAAGGUCUUCGGAUUGUAAACUCCUGUUGUUGAGGAAGAUAAUGACGGUACUCAACAAGGAAGUGACGGCUAACUACGUGCCAGCAGCCGCGGUAAAACGUAGGUCACAAGCGUUGUCCGGAAUUACUGGGUGUAAAGGGAGCGCAGGCGGGCAGACAAGUUGGAAGUGAAAUCCAUGGGCUCAACCCAUGAACUGCUUUCAAAACUGUAUGUCUUGAGUAGUGCAGAGGUAGGCGGAAUUCCCGGUGUAGCGGUGGAAUGCGUAGAUAUCGGGAGGAACACCAGUGGCGAAGGCGGCCUACUGGGCACCAACUGACGCUGAGGCUCGAAAGUGUGGGUAGCAAACAGGAUUAGAUACCCUGGUAGUCCACACCGUAAACGAUGAUUACUAGGUGUUGGAGGAUUGACCCCUUCAGUGCCGCAGUUAACACAAUAAGUAAUCCACCUGGGGAGUACGACCGCAAGGUUGAAACUCAAAGGAAUUGACGGGGGCCCGCACAAGCAGUGGAGUAUGUGGUUUAAUUCGAAGCAACGCGAAGAACCUUACCUAAACUUGACAUCGAUCUGACAAUCUGUGUAAUGCAGACUCUCUUCGGAGCAGAGAAGACAGGUGGUGCAUGGUUGUCGUCAGCUCGUGUCGUGAGAUGUUGGGUUAAGUCCCGCAACGAGCGCAACCCUUAUCGCUAGUAGCCAUCAUUCAGUUGGGCACUCUAGUGAGACUGCCGUGGAUAACACGGAGGAAGGUGGGGAUGACGUCAAAUCAUCAUGCCCCUUAUGUUUAGGGCUACACACGUGCUACAAUGGCUGUUACAAAGUGAAGCGAGCUCGCGAGAGUAAGCAAACCACAAAAAAGCAGCCCUAGUUCGGAUUGUAGUCUGCAACUCGACUACAUGAAGUUGGAAUCGCUAGUAAUCGCAGAUCAGAAUGCUGCGGUGAAUACGUUCCCGGGUCU
Molecule: ribosomal RNA, 1334 nt
Filed under: uncultured bacterium
Lineage: Bacteria
Description: 16S ribosomal RNA
Rfam family: Bacterial small subunit ribosomal RNA
Source: RNAcentral